RNAcentral lists this ribosomal RNA (416 nucleotides) under uncultured bacterium. RNAcentral describes it as "bacterial SSU rRNA". It matches the Rfam family "Bacterial small subunit ribosomal RNA", at positions 355 to 786 of the family's 1533-position model. The record is from RNAcentral.
UCGGGAAUAUUGCGCAAUGGAGGAAACUCUGACGCAGUGACGCCGCGUAUAGGAAGAAGGUUUUCGGAUUGUAAACUAUUGUCGUUAGGGAAGAAAAAAUGACAGUACCUAAGGAGGAAGCUCCGGCUAACUACGUGCCAGCAGCCGCGGUAAUACGUAGGGAGCGAGCGUUAUCCGGAUUUAUUGGGUGUAAAGGGUGCGUAGACGGGUAAACAAGUUAGUUGUGAAAUCCCUCGGCUUAACCGAGGAACUGCAACUAAAACUGUAUAUCUUGAGUGCAGGAGAGGUAAGUGGAAUUCCUAGUGUAGCGGUGAAAUGCGUAGAUAUUAGGAGGAACACCAGUGGCGAAGGCGACUUACUGGACUGUAACUGACGUUGAGGCACGAAAGUGUGGGGAGCAAACAGGAUUAGAUACC